RNAcentral lists this ribosomal RNA (504 nucleotides) under uncultured bacterium. RNAcentral describes it as "bacterial SSU rRNA". It matches the Rfam family "Bacterial small subunit ribosomal RNA", at positions 18 to 518 of the family's 1533-position model. The record is from RNAcentral.
CUGGCGUCAGGAUGAACGGCUGGCGGCGUGGCCCAACACAUGCAAGUCGAACGAAGCAUACGGACCGGAGAUUCGUCGAAGGACUGUAUGACUUAGUGGCGGACGGGUGAGUAAUGUAUGAGCAACCUGCCUUUCAGAGGGGGACAACAGUUGGAAGCGACUGCUAAUACCGCGUAAUGUAUCGUGGGGGCAUCCUCGUGAUACCAAAGGAGCAAUCCGCUGAAAGAUGGGCUCAUAUCUGAUUAGCUUGUUGGCGGGGUAACGGCCACCAAGGCGACGAUCAGUAGCCGGACUGAGAGGUUGAACGGCCACAUUGGGACUGAGAUACGGCCCAGACUCCUACGGGAGGCAGCAGUGGGGAAUAUUGGGCAAUGGGCGAAAGCCUGACCCAGCAACGCCGCGUGAAGGAAGAAGGUCUUCGGAUUGUAAACUUCUUUUAUGAGGGACGAAGGACGUGACGGUACCUCAUGAAUAAGCCACGGCUAACUACGUGCCAGCCGCCGC